GACGAACGCUGGCGGCGUGCCUAAUACAUGCAAGUAGAACGCUGAAGGAGGAGCUUGCUUCUCUGGAUGAGUUGCGAACGGGUGAGUAACGCGUAGGUAACCUGCCUGGUAGCGGGGGAUAACUAUUGGAAACGAUAGCUAAUACCGCAUAAUAGUAGAUGUUGCAUGACAUUUGCUUAAAAGGUGCAAUUGCAUCACUACCAGAUGGACCUGCGUUGUAUUAGCUAGUUGGUGGGGUAACGGCUCACCAAGGCGACGAUACAUAGCCGACCUGAGAGGGUGAUCGGCCACACUGGGACUGAGACACGGCCCAGACUCCUACGGGAGGCAGCAGUAGGGAAUCUUCGGCAAGGGACGGAAGUCUGACCGAGCAACGCCGCGUGAGUGAAGAAGGUUGUCGGAUCGGAAAGCUCGGUUGUAAGAGAAGAACGAGUGUGAGAGUGGAAAGUUCACACUGUGACGGUACCUGACCAGAAAGGGACGGCUAACUACGUG
Molecule: ribosomal RNA, 495 nt
Filed under: uncultured bacterium
Lineage: Bacteria
Description: partial 16S ribosomal RNA
Rfam family: Bacterial small subunit ribosomal RNA
Source: RNAcentral